Molecule: long non-coding RNA, 319 nt
Filed under: Medicago truncatula (barrel medic)
Lineage: Eukaryota; Viridiplantae; Streptophyta; Magnoliopsida; Fabales; Fabaceae
Description: long non-coding RNA (MTRU_LNC008870)
Source: RNAcentral
AGUCUGAGUAUCCUAUCAUAACUUCUUGCUUUCCAUUGAUUCGGUUUCUGUACCAAUCUAUAGAGAAAAGUCGCGCUACAGCAGCAGGAGCAGACUCAAGAUCAGCGAGCUUUUCAAACAGUGGGACAACUCUUAACGGCUGUUUGACGUGGCAUUCGCGUUGUAAAAGCUCAACAGCAAGCACAUCAGACGGGGAUGUUGCCAUUGAAAUGAUAUAGGCACCGAAGCUGUCUGAGGGAAGUUCUGAAAUGACAUGGAAAGUUUCCAAAACAUCGGAAAUUUCUUCUGUCUUAGGGAGAUCAUGGCCGAAGAGAGGACG